RNAcentral lists this transfer RNA (67 nucleotides) under Margaritifera middendorffi. RNAcentral's name for it is "tRNA-Leu". The record is from RNAcentral. Lineage: Eukaryota; Metazoa; Mollusca; Bivalvia; Unionida; Margaritiferidae.
AACGGGUUAGUAUAAUAAAUACCACCGAUUUAGGAUCGGUAAAAAAGACCCACACCCUUACCCGUUA